Molecule: ribosomal RNA, 229 nt
Filed under: uncultured bacterium
Lineage: Bacteria
Description: partial 16S ribosomal RNA
Rfam family: Bacterial small subunit ribosomal RNA
Source: RNAcentral
GAGGAUCCAAGCGUUAUCCGGAUUUAUGGGUUUAAAGGUGCGUAGGCUGAUCCCCGAUAAGUCAGCGGUGAAAAGCAUAGGCUUAACCUAUGUCUUGCCGUUGAUACUGUCAGACUAGAAUAUAAAUGGAGUAGGCGGAAUGAAUCAUGUAGAGGUGACAUUCAUAGAUAUGAUUUAGAACACCGUUCGCGAAGGCGGCUUACUAAGAUAUAAUUGACGCUGAUGCACG